Molecule: transfer RNA, 71 nt
Filed under: Marmota monax (woodchuck)
Lineage: Eukaryota; Metazoa; Chordata; Mammalia; Rodentia; Sciuridae
Description: tRNA.Thr
Source: RNAcentral
GGGGAUGUGGCUCAGUGGUAGAAUGCACACCUAGUGCGUGUGAGGCACUGGGUUCGAUCCUCAGCACCACA